This 103-nucleotide ribosomal RNA is filed under the name Geranium pyrenaicum. Its description in RNAcentral is "4.5S ribosomal RNA". The record is from RNAcentral. Lineage: Eukaryota; Viridiplantae; Streptophyta; Magnoliopsida; Geraniales; Geraniaceae.
UAAGGUCACGGCAAGACGAGCCGUUUAUCAUUACAAUAGGUGUCAAGUGGAAGUGCAGUGAUGUAUGCAGCUGAGGCAUCCUAACAGACCAAUAGACUUGAAC